GAUGAAGAACGUAGCGAAAUGCGAUAAGUAAUGUGAAUUGCAGAAUUCAGUGAAUCAUCGAGUCUUUGAACGCACAUUGCGCCCGCCAGUAUUCUGGCGGGCAUGCCUGUUCGAGCGUCAUUUCAACCAUCAAGCCCCAGGCUUGUGUUGGGGGCCUGCAGCUGCUGCAGCCCCCUAAAAGCAGUGGCGGACUCGCUGUCAUACCGAGCGCAGUAGUUACAUCUCGCUCUGGGCAUGGCGGCGGGCACCUGCCGUAAAACACUCUUUCUAAGGUUGACCUCGGAUCAGGUAGGAAUACCCGCUGAACUUAAGCAUAUCAAUAAGCGGAGGA
RNAcentral lists this unclassified non-coding RNA (331 nucleotides) under soil metagenome. Its description in RNAcentral is "partial contains 5.8S ribosomal RNA, internal transcribed spacer 2, and large subunit ribosomal RNA". The stretch from base 1 to 120 matches the Rfam family "5.8S ribosomal RNA", at positions 35 to 154 of the family's 154-position model. The record is from RNAcentral.